AAUAGAUACCCCCGGUAGUCCACGCCGUAAACGAUGGAUACUAGCUGUUGGAGGUAUCGACCCCUCCAGUAGCGAAGCUAACGCGUUAAGUAUCCCGCCUGUGGAGUACGGUCGCAAGACUAAAACAUAAAGGAAUUGACGGGGACCCGCACAAGCGGUGGAUUGUGUUCUUUAAUUCGAUGAUAAACGAAGAACCUUACCAGGGUUUGACAUCCCAAGAAUUAUGCCGAAAGGCGUGAGUGCUUUAUUGAACUUGGUGACAGGUGAUGCAUGGCCGUCGUCAGCUCGUGUCGUGAGAUGUUUGGUUAAGUCCAUCAACGAGCGCAACCCUUGUGAAUAGUUGAAUUUUUCUAUUCAGACUGCCCCGGCAACGGGGAGGAAGGAGGGGAUGAUGUCAGGUCAGUAUUUCCUUACAUCCUGGGCUAGAAACGCAAUACAAUGGUUAGUACAAUGCGCAGCGAAGCCGCGAGGUGAAGCAAAUCGCAUCAAAGCUAAUCCCAGUUCGGAUAAGAGGCUGAAACUCGCCUCUUUGAAGUCGGAA
RNAcentral lists this ribosomal RNA (541 nucleotides) under uncultured bacterium. Its description in RNAcentral is "bacterial SSU rRNA". It matches the Rfam family "Bacterial small subunit ribosomal RNA", at positions 777 to 1331 of the family's 1533-position model. The record is from RNAcentral.